RNAcentral lists this ribosomal RNA (532 nucleotides) under Paramycosphaerella marksii. RNAcentral describes it as "SSU rRNA". It matches the Rfam family "Eukaryotic small subunit ribosomal RNA", at positions 568 to 1103 of the family's 1831-position model. The record is from RNAcentral. Lineage: Eukaryota; Fungi; Ascomycota; Dothideomycetes; Mycosphaerellales; Mycosphaerellaceae.
CAGCAGCCGCGGUAAUUCCAGCUCCAAUAGCGUAUAUUAAAGUUGUUGCAGUUAAAAAGCUCGUAGUUGAACCUUGGGCCUGGCUGGCCGGUCCGCCUCACCGCGUGUACUGGUCCGGCCGGGCCUUUCCUUCUGGGGAGCCGCAUGGUCUUCACUGACCGUGCCGGGGAACCAGGACUUUUACUUUGAAAAAAUUAGAGUGUUCAAAGCAGGCCUUUGCUCGAAUACAUUAGCAUGGAAUAAUAGAAUAGGACGUCGCGGUUCUAUUUUGUUGGUUUCUAGGACCGCCGUAAUGAUUAAUAGGGAUAGUCGGGGGCAUCCGUAUUCAAUUGUCAGAGGUGAAAUUCUUGGAUUUAUUGAAGACGAACUACUGCGAAAGCAUUUGCCAAGGAUGUUUUCAUUAAUCAGUGAACGAAAGUUAGGGGAUCGAAGACGAUCAGAUACCGUCGUAGUCUUAACCAUAAACUAUGCCGACUAGGGAUCGGUGGAUGUUAUCUUUUUGACUCCAUCGGCACCUUACGAGAAAUCAAAG